Molecule: long non-coding RNA, 247 nt
Filed under: Fukomys damarensis (Damara mole-rat)
Lineage: Eukaryota; Metazoa; Chordata; Mammalia; Rodentia; Bathyergidae
Description: lncRNA (ENSFDAG00000027566.1)
Source: RNAcentral
CAGACAUCCACCACCAUGCCUGCCUCAGAACUUUUAGGAAAAAAAAUUACCAUGGGACUUCACAGCGGUUAUUCUGGCGAGCAAGACAGCCUGAGUUGAUGGGAACCUUCAGGACUGUAGCCUCUGUUUCUCUGUCACAGGCGCACCAUGGAGACGUCUUGGGUCCAGCAGUCCUUGGCCACGGCCUCUCCAAGAAGGGCUGGAUCCCGGCCUGAAGGCUUUUCUCUGACUCUAUCUCAACCCCAAG